RNAcentral lists this transfer RNA (96 nucleotides) under Virgisporangium ochraceum. Its description in RNAcentral is "tRNA-Pro". The record is from RNAcentral. Lineage: Bacteria; Bacillati; Actinomycetota; Actinomycetes; Micromonosporales; Micromonosporaceae.
GCUCGCACUGGGUUGCGGGCCGGAGCUCGAGCUCUGGCUGCUCGACGGGUCCGGGUCGGGACCCGUUCCCGGUUCGUUGCCCCAGAUGCGCGUGCC